Molecule: non-coding RNA, 123 nt
Filed under: Fragilariopsis kerguelensis
Lineage: Eukaryota; Bacillariophyta; Bacillariophyceae; Bacillariales; Bacillariaceae
Source: RNAcentral
CAGUGAAAGAGAAGAAGAAAGAACAAAAUGACCGACGGAAUCAAGUGGUACAACAGUUAAUCGAUCAGUGCCAGCAUGAUCCACUACCACCAUCGGUACAACCCACACAAACAUCCUGUCCUC